CGGGGGCGCGCGGCCGCCAAGGGGGGCGCUCGCGCCUCCACUCCCUGCUCUCAAAGGAGAGAUCAGCUGGCGCGCCGGACCCUCGCGGGGACUCUGGAGGCGAAAUCCAGGACAAAUGCAGGGUCAGGGUCUGGCCUCUUAUUUCCCCGCUGGGCCCGUUAUUCAACUUUCAGUUUGAAGUUUUUCGGUAAUAUACGAUUUCAAAAAACAAAACAAAACAAAACACCUCAAUUACAGCGUAUUUUGGCAUAGCAUAGACGUGGGAUCCACGCUUCUGUUUCCCCGGAAUAGGAGGAAAAUUAAAAGAAAACAGCAGGCUGGAAAUUGAGUGUUUUUAAACAUUAAUACAUAGAGAUCUCAGAGGCAGGCGAUUAGCAGCUCAGAGGAAGGUAAAAUAACGCACUGUGUGAACCAAGCAUACAGGACAAUUCCAGUUUGGGACCUUGGAACCUUCUACGCCACCCUCUUCCACCAGGCCCCCAAGAAGUAGGGCUGUGACACGUGGCCAAGUCACUCCUCAGCUGAAUAUUCACUGAAGUCACUCCUCAGCCGAAAUACUGCUCAGAGCUGCUGCACGAUGAGUCUGGGGCCAAGGCUUUCUGCCCUUCCCAGGAUUCCAGGAGCCCCCAUGCACAGCACCUCGGGCUUGCCCAAAUGAUCCCCAAAACCAAGGGCAGAAAAUUUUUGGAAAAGGCCAAGUUCUGCUUUCCCAGAGCUAUCGGGCCUGCGAAACAGAGAGAAAAAAGUCAGAAGCAGGAGCUGAUUUCAAAAACAAAACAAAACAAAACUUCAAUGAGAUUUAAGUAGCUUUUAAAGAGGAGGAAAAGUUGAUAACUAUUGGAUGCACCCGAAGAAAAAAUAAAUAAAUAUCCUGUGAUGACCUCAAGGAUGUCUUGCAGCUUUAGAACUUCAUAACCUGAGAUGGCUGCCCUCUUGUGGUGGAAAUGAGUUCGAACGCUUGAAAGAAAGAAGUCCAUAAAUAAAUAAAUAAAUAAAUAAGUAGUCUCCAGAGACUGAUUUGGGAUCGAAGUACAGGAUGACUGUACCUACCCGUUUUCCAGGGAAGAGCAAUAGUCAGAAAUGAUAAAUCUAAAUACAGACGAGCUAUUUCUUUUUUUUUUCUCUCUCUUCACUAAUGGCUACCUUCCACCUGCAACUUAGAAUGCUGGGUUAUUUAAUACUUUGGGAGAGUGUCUGUUUGCCUUGAAAAUAUCACUUGCAGCUAACCAUUGUCAAUUCUACCGUUUUCAAAGGUCCAUUCAAAGUUUUUCAGUUCAGAGGGUGAGAUUCAGUCUUGCUGAGUUUAUCAGACUUAGUGCAUCUGCCAGCAAAUGUGGAAGGGGCAGAGGUGGGAGUGGGGAGUUGUUUAAGAUAGGGAUAGUAGAAGUUGCAAAUUCAAAUGCAUCAGAGGGUACAGACAAGUUAUGUAAAAAAGCAAAGAUGACCAGAUAAUGAUUCCACAUAAAGGAGGUUGUUGCUAUUCCAUUUCAGUCAUCUCUUGGCAGUUUCUCAGGAGAUAGUGGAAAUUUGCAUUUGAUUGUGUGUGGACAAGACUCGGGAUGAAAUUAACUGCUUACAGUCAUACUUUAGCAAUUUUAGCACUUCAGCUCACAUGAUAUUCCAUUUUAUUGCAUUCUGUAGCUAUUAGCAUUCAGUAUUGUUCUUGCUAGGCCAAACAUUAUGCAAAUCAACAUUAAAAUAGUGAUCCCCAUGUAUUGUAAAGUUCACAGCAGGCAUUACGUGAUCCAUCUACCUUGUAAUUGUCAUUCCAUGGAAACCUGUGGCAACUGCCCUGAGAAACCCUCUUUGCUUUUUAGCAUACAUAUCGCUUUGUUACAAGGGUGACACCCAUAACCAUCCCUACUUACUUUACCUGGAUGAAGUUUUUUUUACAGGAACUUGGAGCCAAGGCAAAAGAGAAGCAUUUAGUCAAUCAAAUGUUUUCCUUUUUGGUGUUUGAUUAGACAUGGUAGAAAGGAUGGGAGAGGUGGAGUGAUUUAUAUCAGAAACUAGGCCAAGUUGGCCAAAUCAGGAUCACUGCUUUCAGCAAGUACCAACUACAUCUUCUUAAAAAUUAAAAAGAAUGAAUUUUGUGCAUUGAUUAGACUGUCACACAGUUUAAGAUGUACACCUUAAGUUAUGUCUGUAAACUAUGUUGAUAACACUCUAAGAUGUAGUUGGGUGACCUGGGUUCUAAUUCCUGGUUCUGUCAUGGAUGACUGACUUUAAAAUGGUCAUUUCAUCUGUUAAUUGGGGUAAAUAAAUAUAUGUUUGCUUGCUUCAGACUGACAUGAUGAAGGUCAAAUGGAUAACAUGUGUGAACUUAGUUUCUGAUUGCUACUCACUCUAUGUAUCUUCAAAUGUAUUCUUUGGCCUUCUGUCUGCAAUAUGGCCUGGUUUUAAGAAAUAGGACUUUGGAUGCCUUUCUUCUCCUCCUCUUUCUCCUCCUUCUCCUUCUCUUCUCCCAGCUUUUAUUAUAUUGCCAAACAGUGGAUAUUUCAUCAGAAAGGCCACCAGUUGGGUCAGUCAAUCUAAAGCAGAGGUCCCCAACCAUUUUGGCACCAGGGACCAGUUUUGUGGAGGAAAAUUUUUCUACAGACCAGGUUGGGGGUGAUGGUUUCAGGAUGAAACGGUUCCACGUCAGAUCGUCAGGCAUUAGUUAGGUUCUCAUAAGGAGCAUGCAACCUAGAUCCCUCAUACAUGCAGUUCACAGUAGGGUUUGA
Molecule: long non-coding RNA, 2723 nt
Filed under: Homo sapiens (human)
Lineage: Eukaryota; Metazoa; Chordata; Mammalia; Primates; Hominidae
Description: HSALNT0263990
Source: RNAcentral